This 267-nucleotide ribosomal RNA is filed under the name uncultured bacterium. RNAcentral's name for it is "partial 16S ribosomal RNA". It matches the Rfam family "Bacterial small subunit ribosomal RNA", at positions 1234 to 1500 of the family's 1533-position model. The record is from RNAcentral.
ACGGUACAACGAGUCGCAAGCUCGCGAGAGUAAGCUAAUCUCUUAAAGCCGUUCUCAGUUCGGACUGUAGGCUGCAACUCGCCUACACGAAGUCGGAAUCGCUAGUAAUCGCGGAUCAGCAUGCCGCGGUGAAUACGUUCCCGGGCCUUGUACACACCGCCCGUCACACCAUGGGAGUUUGUAACGCCCAAAGUCGGUGGCCUAACCUUUAUGGAGGGAGCCGCCUAAGGCGGGACAGAUGACUGGGUGAAGUCGUAACAAGGUAAC